AGUGAACGCUGGCGGUAGGCCUAACACAUGCAAGUCGAACGGCAGCACAGUAAGAGCUUGCUCUUACGGGUGGCGAGUGGCGGACGGGUGAGGAAUACAUCGGAAUCUACUUUUUCGUGGGGGAUAACGUAGGGAAACUUACGCUAAUACCGCAUACGACCUACGGGUGAAAGCAGGGGAUCUUCGGACCUUGCGCGAUUGAAUGAGCCGAUGUCGGAUUAGCUAGUUGGCGGGGUAAAGGCCCACCAAGGCGACGAUCCGUAGCUGGUCUGGGAGGAUGAUCAGCCACACUGGAACUGAGACACGGUCCAGGCUCCUACGGGAGGCCGCAGUGGGGAAUAUUGGACAAUGGGCGCAAGCCUGAUCCAGCCAUACCGCGUGGGUGAAGAAGGCCUUCGGGUUGUAAAGCCCUUUUGUUGGGAAAGAAAAGCAGCAGGUUAAUACCCCGCUGUUCUGACGGUACCCAAAGAAUAAGCACCGGCUAACUUCGUG
RNAcentral lists this ribosomal RNA (492 nucleotides) under uncultured bacterium. RNAcentral describes it as "partial 16S ribosomal RNA". It matches the Rfam family "Bacterial small subunit ribosomal RNA", at positions 29 to 507 of the family's 1533-position model. The record is from RNAcentral.